RNAcentral lists this ribosomal RNA (216 nucleotides) under Glomeromycotina sp. Its description in RNAcentral is "partial small subunit ribosomal RNA". The stretch from base 40 to 216 matches the Rfam family "Eukaryotic small subunit ribosomal RNA", at positions 686 to 864 of the family's 1831-position model. The record is from RNAcentral. Lineage: Eukaryota; Fungi; Glomeromycota.
GGGUCAGUAGGUAGGUCGUGCCACCGGUACGUACUGGUCUCACUGAUUCCUCCUUCCUGAAGAACCGUAAUGCUAUUAAUUUGGUGUUGCGGGGAAACAGGACUGUUACUUUGAAAAAAUUAGAGUGUUUAAAGCAAGCUAACGCUUGAAUACAUUAGCAUGGAAUAAUGAAAUAGGACGAUCGAUCCUAUUUUGUUGGUUUCUAGGAUUGACGUA